GAUGAACGCUGGCGGCGCGCCUAACACAUGCAAGUCGAACGAUUAAAGCACCUUCGGGUGUGUAUAAAGUGGCGAACGGCUGAGUAACACGUGAGCAACCUGCCCCUUUCAUUGGGAUAGCCACGGGAAACCGUGGAUAAUACCGAAUACUUCGAGACUUCCGCAUGGAAGACUCGAGAAAGCUCCGGCGGAGAGGGAUGGGCCCGCGGCCUGUUAGCUUGUUGGUGGGGUAACGGCCUACCAAGGCAAUGAUGGGUAGCUGGGUUGAGAGACCGACCAGCCAGAUUGGGACUGAGACACGGCCCAGACUCCUACGGGAGGCAGCAGUGGGGAAUCUUGCACAAUGGGCGAAAGCCUGAUGCAGCGACGCCGCGUGCGGGAUGAAGGCCUUCGGGUUGUAAACCGCUUUCAGCAGGGACGAGGCGAAAGUGACGGUACCUGCAGAAGAAGCCCCGGCUAACUACGUG
This 467-nucleotide ribosomal RNA is filed under the name uncultured bacterium. RNAcentral's name for it is "partial 16S ribosomal RNA". It matches the Rfam family "Bacterial small subunit ribosomal RNA", at positions 28 to 507 of the family's 1533-position model. The record is from RNAcentral.